UGCGGGGUAGAGCAGUUUGGUAGCUCGCGAGGCUCAUAACCUUGAGGUCACGGGUUCAAAUCCCGUCUCCGCUA
Molecule: transfer RNA, 74 nt
Filed under: Lagarostrobos franklinii (Huon pine)
Lineage: Eukaryota; Viridiplantae; Streptophyta; Pinopsida; Araucariales; Podocarpaceae
Description: tRNA-fMet
Rfam family: tRNA
About the family: Transfer RNA (tRNA) molecules are approximately 80 nucleotides in length. Their secondary structure includes four short double-helical elements and three loops (D, anti-codon, and T loops). Further hydrogen bonds mediate the characteristic L-shaped molecular structure. tRNAs have two regions of fundamental functional importance: the anti-codon, which is responsible for specific mRNA codon recognition, and the 3' end, to which the tRNAs corresponding amino acid is attached (by aminoacyl-tRNA synthetases). tRNAs cope with the degeneracy of the genetic code in two manners: having more than one tRNA (with a specific anti-codon) for a particular amino acid; and 'wobble' base-pairing, i.e. permitting non-standard base-pairing at the 3rd anti-codon position.
Source: RNAcentral